AGCUUUAUUUUUCUCCAUAGCAGAUACCUGCCAUUGGCUGUAUUUUCCUUGUCUUGUUGACUGUCUCCUGGAUGGAUGGAAGAGUCUGUGACUCCCCAAGGGCAGGAAUCUUAUUUGGUUAACACCGGGGCAUGGCCUGAAAAACCUGUUAGCAGAGUGAAUGAAUCGGAUGUGUUUGUUUUGAAAAGGACGGGUGUGGCUUGAUGCCGAGGAGCUCAGCAUCAUCUCUCAGACCCGGACUCACGUCGUAGCUCUACAGCCAGAACUUCCACAGGCUGCUGGUGGCAUGCAAGCCCCGAGCAGCCACUUUGGAAAAUGGUUUGCCAACUUCCCGCAAGAUUAAAUAUACACUUCCCAUAGGACCCAA
This is a non-coding RNA of Macaca mulatta (Rhesus monkey), 367 nucleotides long. The record is from RefSeq and is a predicted model, not a curated record. NCBI's taxonomy places the organism in Eukaryota, Metazoa, Chordata, Mammalia, Primates, Cercopithecidae.